This 424-nucleotide ribosomal RNA is filed under the name uncultured bacterium. RNAcentral's name for it is "bacterial SSU rRNA". It matches the Rfam family "Bacterial small subunit ribosomal RNA", at positions 28 to 473 of the family's 1533-position model. The record is from RNAcentral.
GACGAACGCUGGCGGCGUGCAUAACACAUGCAAGUCAAGGGGGCCCGCAAGGGCAACCGGCGAACGGGUGAGUAACGCGUAGGUAUCUGUCCAUGGGUGGGGGAUAACCGGGGGAAACUCCGGCUAAUACCGCAUGAAACCUGAGGGUCAAAGGCGCGAGUCGCCUGUGGAGGAGCCUGCGUCCGAUUAGCUAGUUGGUGGGGUAAAGGCCUACCAAGGCGACGAUCGGUAGCUGGUCUGAGAGGAUGAUCAGCCACACUGGGACUGAGACACGGCCCAGACUCCUACGGGAGGCAGCAGUGGGGAAUAUUGGACAAUGGGCGCAAGCCUGAUCCAGCAAUGCCGCGUGGGUGAAGAAGGUCUUCGGAUUGUAAAGCUCUGUGGGAGAGAAGAAUAAACGUGGGUGAAUAGCCUAUGUGAUGAC